UACGAAGGGGGCUAGCGUUGUUCGGAUUUACUGGGCGUAAAGCGCGUGUAGGCGGACUGUUAAGUUGGGGGUGAAAUCCCGAGGCUCAACCUCGGAACUGCCUUCAAAACUGGCGGUCUAGAGUGAAGGAGAGGCGAGUGGAAUUCCGAGUGUAGAGGUGAAAUUCGUAGAUAUUCGGAGGAACACCAGUGGCGAAGGCGGCUCGCUGGCCUUUUACUGACGCUGAGACGCGAAAGCGUGGGGAGCAAACAGG
Molecule: ribosomal RNA, 253 nt
Filed under: uncultured bacterium
Lineage: Bacteria
Description: partial 16S ribosomal RNA
Rfam family: Bacterial small subunit ribosomal RNA
Source: RNAcentral